GACGUAGGGGGCGAGCGUUGCCCGGAAUCACUGGGUGUAAAGGGGACGUAGGCGGAUGAUCAAGUCAUCUGUGAAAAGGUUGCUCAACGAUUGGCUUGCGGAUGAAACUGGUUAUCUUGGGCGUAGCAGAGGUAGACGGAAUUACCUGAGUAGGGGUGAAAUCCGCAGAUACAGGUAAGAACGCCGGUGAAGAAGUUGGUCUACUGGGCUACAGCUGACGCUGAGGUCCGAAAGCCAGGGGAGCGAACCG
Molecule: ribosomal RNA, 250 nt
Filed under: uncultured Petrotoga sp.
Lineage: Bacteria; Thermotogati; Thermotogota; Thermotogae; Petrotogales; Petrotogaceae
Description: partial 16S ribosomal RNA
Rfam family: Bacterial small subunit ribosomal RNA
Source: RNAcentral